CGAUGCGAUCAUACCAGCACUAAUGCACCGGAUUCCCAUCAGAACUCCGAAGUUAAGCGUGCUUGGGCGAGAGUAGUACUAGGAUGGUGACCCCUGGGAAGUCCUCGUGUUGCAUCCC
This 118-nucleotide ribosomal RNA is filed under the name Ipomoea nil (Japanese morning glory). The record is from RNAcentral. Lineage: Eukaryota; Viridiplantae; Streptophyta; Magnoliopsida; Solanales; Convolvulaceae.